Molecule: ribosomal RNA, 503 nt
Filed under: uncultured bacterium
Lineage: Bacteria
Description: partial 16S ribosomal RNA
Rfam family: Bacterial small subunit ribosomal RNA
Source: RNAcentral
AUUGAACGCUGGCGGCAGGCUUAACACAUGCAAGUCGAGCGGGGUGAUGGUGCUUGCACUAUCACUUAGCGGCGGACGGGUGAGUAAUGCUUAGGAAUCUGCCUAUUAGUGGGGGACAACAUCUCGAAAGGGAUGCUAAUACCGCAUACGUCCUACGGGAGAAAGCAGGGGAUCACUUGUGACCUUGCGCUAAUAGAUGAGCCUAAGUCGGAUUAGCUAGUUGGUGGGGUAAAGGCCUACCAAGGCGACGAUCUGUAGCGGGUCUGGGAGGAUGAUCCGCCAGACUGGGACUUAGACACGGCCCAGACUCUUACGGGAGGCAGCAGUGGGGAAUAUUGGACAAUGGGGGGAACCCUGAUCCAGCCAUGCCGCGUGUGUGAAGAAGGCCUUAUGGUUGUAAAGCACUUUAAGCGAGGAGGAGGCUCUUUUGGUUAAUACCCAAGAUGAGUGGACGUUACUCGCAGAAUAAGCACCGGCUAACUCUGUGCCAGCCGCCGCGGUAA